UACAGAGGUGGCAAGCGUUGUUCGGAAUUACUGGGCGUAAAGCGCGCGUAGGCGGCUCUUCAAGUCAGGCGUGAAAGCCCCGGGCUCAACCCGGGAACGGCGCUUGAUACUGUCGAGCUAGAGUGUGGAAGGGGCAAUCGGAAUUCCGUGUGUAGCGGUGAAAUGCGUAGAUAUACGGAGGAACACCAGAGGCGAAGGCGGAUUGCUGGGCCAACACUGACGCUGAUGUGCGAAAGCCAGGGUAGCAAACGGG
Molecule: ribosomal RNA, 253 nt
Filed under: uncultured bacterium
Lineage: Bacteria
Description: partial 16S ribosomal RNA
Rfam family: Bacterial small subunit ribosomal RNA
Source: RNAcentral